This 164-nucleotide microRNA precursor is filed under the name Prunus dulcis (almond). RNAcentral's name for it is "sRNA ncRNA". The record is from RNAcentral. Lineage: Eukaryota; Viridiplantae; Streptophyta; Magnoliopsida; Rosales; Rosaceae.
AGUUGAGAGGGAAAAUGAGAGGGGGGAUGAGAGGAAUGAGUAAUAAAAGUGCAAACAAAAUUAAAAACUGAAAUUUAUUUGAAAUUGUUUUCACUUUCAAGUUUUUGUUUUCACUUUUGUUGCUCCUCCCUCUCAUCAUCCCCUCUAAUCCUCUCUCUUAAUCU